Molecule: ribosomal RNA, 459 nt
Filed under: uncultured bacterium
Lineage: Bacteria
Description: partial 16S ribosomal RNA
Rfam family: Bacterial small subunit ribosomal RNA
Source: RNAcentral
CCUACGGGGGGCAGCAGUGAGGAAUAUUGGUCAAUGGACGAAAGCCUGAACCAGCCAAGUAGCGUGAGGGAUGACUGCCCUACGGGUUGUAAACUUCUUUUACAAAGGAAUAAAACGAGCCACGUGUGCAGCUUUGCAUGUACUUUAUGAAUAAGGAUCGGCUAACUCCGUGCCAGCAGCCGCGGUAAUACGGAGGACGCGAGCUUUAUCCGGAUUUAUUGGGUUAAAAGGGUGCGUAGGCGGCUGUUUAAGUUAGUGGUAAAACGUCGGGGCUACACCCUGACUUGCCGUUGAUACUGUAGGACUCGAGUUCAGACGAGGUAGGCGGAAUUAGUGGUGUAGCGGUGAAAUGCUUAGAUAUUACGUAGAACCCCGAUGGCGAAGGCAGCUUACCGGACUGCGACUGACGCUGAGGCUCGAGAGCGUGGGUAGCGAACAGGAUUAGAUACCCUUGUAGUC